Molecule: long non-coding RNA, 1677 nt
Organism: Manis javanica (Malayan pangolin)
Lineage: Eukaryota; Metazoa; Chordata; Mammalia; Pholidota; Manidae
Source: RefSeq, a predicted model, not a curated record
CGGUAUUUUCCCACGGUGGCUGGGCUUCAACUCCUCACAAAGAGCCGCCAGAAGCUGCUAGGCUUAGUUGUGCCUGGCUUGUGUGGAAGCAACGCAGGAGCGGCGUGAGUUUUGUCUUCUCUGAACUCAGCCUGUCUCCAAGGGAAGGGAGACUACAGCUGAAGAGAGAAGAAAGAAAAGAGCAGAACCAAAUAGUGCUUGUAAUUCUAAGUCAUGACUGAGCAGGUAGUGAUGUUCAGUGAUGUGGCUGAACCUUCUCUCAGGCGGAGUGGGAAUUUCUGGACUGGAAACAGAGGGACUUGUACAGAGAUAUGAUGUUGAAGAACUAUAACAAAUUGGUCUCAUUGGGACUCACUUCCUAAACCAACUUUGAUCUCCUUUUUGGAACAAGAUGAUGAGCCCCAGAUGGUUGAGAGAGAAACAAGGAAAGGCAUAUGCCCAGUUGUGAAGUCCCAGUGUGAGACAAAGGAGUUAUCACCAAAGGAUGACAAUUACAAAAUAAAGUCACGUCAGUGCAAGAUAAUGAAAGACUUAAAAGCCAUGGCUUUGAGUGUUCCAUUAUUCAAGAUGACUGGAAAUAUAAUCACCAUUUUCAGAUGGAACAGGGAAAUCAAGAAGAAUGUCUUAAACCUGUGACAGUCACCCAUGAAAAUAAGCACCCAUCCCAUAGUCUACGUGAGAAAAAUCAUACUGAGAAAAAGCCUUGUGAAUGUGGGAAAGUCUACAAUUACCACUCAUCACUUACUCACAAUGGGAGAAGUUACACUAAAUUAAAACAUAAGGAUUGUGGAAAGGCUUUUAGCAGUUGCUCAAAACUUACUGAACAUCAGAGAAUUCAUAAUGGGGAAAGACUGUAUGAAUGUAAUGAGUGUAGGAAAGCUUUCCACCAGCCUUCAAACCUUAUUCAACAUCAGAGAAUUCAUACUGGAGAGAAACCCUAUGAAUGCAAAGAAUGUAGGAAAACUUUUAGUUACCACUCAUCACUCACUAGACAUGAGAAAACACAUACUAAAGAAAAACACUAUGUAUGUAGGAAAUGUGGGAAGGCUUUUAGCAACAGUUCAAUUAUUAAGGGACAUCAGAGUGUUCAUUGUGGGGACAGGCCCUAUAAUAUAAUAAAUAGGGAAAGCCUCCCAUCACCACUCAAUCCUUAUUCAACAUCAGAGAAUUCACCCUGGAGAAAGACCCUAUCAAUGUUACAAUUGUAAUAAAGCCUUCCGUUAUCACUCACAUCUUAUUGGACAUCAUAAAAUUCAUUCCAGAGCCCUUCUCGUUGAAUGUAAGAAAUGUGGACAGUCCUUUAGUCAUAGCAGGGAACUCACACACCAUCAGCAAAUUAAUACUGGUGAGAAACUUUGUGAGUGUACACAAUGUGGCAGAUCUUUUAUUCAGAGGUCACAACUUAUUCAUCAUCAGAUAAUUCACACUGGUAAGAAACCCUAUGAAUGUAAGGACUGUGGGAAGGCCUUUAUCCAUGGUUCAUGUCUUAUUCGACAUGAGAAAAUUCAUACAAGGGAAAGAAAAUCCUUGGUACUGUAAUUAAUGUAGACAAUUCCAGGUCAUCUCUUAUGGACCAUCAGAGAAUUACUAGAUGAGAACUUUGUGAAUGUAGCAAAUAUAGGAAGGCUUUUUGCUUUAAUUUUUAAUUGCAUCAAAGAAUGCAUUCAGGAGAAAGAC